UCUCCGUUCGUUUUCUUUUAAUAGUAGCCCAGAAUAAUCUACCGGACACCAUUUUGACACCUCAGUGCCAGCACCUUUGGCAUAUUGAUUUGCUGACAGGCAGAGACUCUCACUUUAUGUCCUUGAACUCACUGUGCUUUCCUCGUCAGGGGGAAUGAGAGCCUGCCAGCAAUGCCGUGAUGCUCGUGUGAAAUGCGUGGAAAAUCUCUUAUCGACAAGAUGCUGCGUGUGAGCAGGUGUCUCUGUCCUCUACGGCCCGCGCCUACCCUGAGGGACCUGCAGUCUGUUGCCGCUAGCCCUGCAAUUCUCCUCUACUACUAGAAGGAGGACUCUCCUGCAAAGAUAGAGGAUUUAUGUUUUCCCUGUUUGGACAUUAAAAUACUGUUUCUGUUGAAUCGCUGUUGGGUCCUCACUCACCUGCAUAACACUACUGGCAUUUCAGCACCUUGUCCAGCGUCUGAGGCUACAACAAGUACAAGACCUCGCCAACUAGAAUGUGCAAUAUGAAGUUAACUAAUUAACUAUCCUUACCCCAAUAUAAAUGUCAAUUGAAUGAUGAUGUCCUUGUCCUUGAUAUAGUUACCUUUUGAGGGAUGGCAAGAGAUCCCCACUCCACAUGCCAGCCUCCUGUCUGGGACCUGGAUGGUUAGAGAGGGCCAGGUGGUGGUAGUCUUAACUCAAAUCCUGUUUUGUUCUUAGUCUGAAGAUAAUAUAACGUCAUAAAAACAUCAAACAGAGAAUGGAGAUGGGAAGCACAUCCAUGAUAUAGAUAAUCUUUUUUAUUUUAACCCUUGACCUUUUACAGUGCAUUUAAUUUGUUUACACAAUUAUUUGCUAAGUGACAGGUUUUAGCCACUAGUACAGAAUCAGAUAACUAUGUAUUAUAUUACAUAUCUGGGUUCCACAACCUCCUCCUUAAGGUUUUGCCUUAAUCAACAUCGUGUGAAAAGACCCCAAAAGUUAUUAUGCAAUGGAUAACCAUGACAACCAUACAAACUCAAUAUUUAAGUUGAAUCUUUAAAUCUUCAGUUCAUUCAUUUACAAACAAAUCAAUCUCAUUAUCUUUAUCUAAUGGACAUGUCCCUGUUCUGAUAUUUAAAUAGUUUCCAUGUUGUUAAAGCAGCUAUCUGUACCAUUAAAACAAACCAAGCAGUGGCCAGUUAGUUAACCUGCUGUCGUCUCCUUGAGAAAUGCUUUCAAAAAUAAAAAUGACAAAAUAAAGUAAAUAUGGUACUAUUGUGUCAAGGAAAGCUCAUUAGACGAAACAAACACAGAGCUUUUUGCAAUAGAACAAUUUGUUGGAACCACAGCCAAACUCCGGCAAGGCGUCCAAACUGAUUUAGCUACGUUCCACAACAGUUUCAGUUCAUUUUGGAAACAUGACAAACUCAGUUUAGAUACAAGGCCAAACUCGCCUACUGUAAGCACAGGAAAUAAAGAAAUAGCAUUUUAGUACUUUCUCUGGAGUCUUUUUAAUGCCAGGUACUACAUUCUGAGACAGGAACCUGACAAGGACAAUGAUCGAACGAUUGAUCAAACAAUCAAUCAAAAGACGAGGGUUGAGCAGUCAAUCGCAACAGGACAAUGUUACUGUACAUCAACAAGCCCCUCUCAAACAUCACUGUAGAAAUACAGUACCUGUCAAACGUUUGGACACAGCUACUCAUUCCAGGGUUUUUCUUUAUUUGGACUAUUUUCUAUAUUGCAGAAUAGUAGUGAAGAUCAAAACUAUGAAAUAACACAUAUGGACUCAUGUAGUCACCCAAAAAGUGUUAAACAAAUCAUAAUAUAUUUUAUAUUUGAGAUUAUUCAAAGUAGCCACCCUUUUGCCUCGAUGACAGCUUUGAACACUCUUGGCAUUCUCUCAACCAGCUUCAUGAGGUAGUCAGGAAUGCAUUUCAAUUAACAGGUGUGCCUUGUUAAAAGUUAAUUUGUGGAAUUUCUUUCCUUCUUAAUGUGUUUGAGCCAAUCAGUUGUGUUGUGACAUGAUAUAGAUAGCCCUAUGAUAAAGAUAAAGAUAGCCCUAUUUGGUAAAAGACCAAGUCCAUAUUUUACUAGGCAAGUCAGUUAAGAACAAAUUCUUAUUUUCAAUGACGGCCUAGGAACAGGGGCAGAACAACCUUGUCAGCUUGGGGAUUUGAACUUGCAACCUUUCGGUUACUAGUCCAACACUCUAACCACUAGGCUACCCUGCCGCCCCAUGACAAGAACAGCUCAAAUAAGCAAAGAGAUAUGACAGUCCAUCAUUGCUUUAAGACAUGAAGGUCAGUCAUUGCGGAAAAUUUCUUCAAG
Oncorhynchus nerka (sockeye salmon) is the source of this 2292-nucleotide long non-coding RNA. RefSeq lists it as uncharacterized. The record is from RefSeq and is a predicted model, not a curated record. Lineage: Eukaryota; Metazoa; Chordata; Actinopteri; Salmoniformes; Salmonidae. The transcript has 2 exons.